GUCUGAGCUUAGAGUUUGAUCCUGGCUCAGAGCGAACGCCGGCGGCGUGCUUAACACAUGCAAGUCGAACGUGAAAAGGGGCAACCCUGAGUAAAGUGGCGAACGGGCGAGUAACGCGUAGGUAAUCUACCCUAGAGACUGGAAUAACCUACCGAAAGGUGGGCUAAUACUAGAUAGUGCGAAAGAUAUAUAAUAGUAUUUUUUGGGAAAGGAGGCUCUUGAAAUAGAGGCUUCCACUUUAGGAUGAGCCUGCGUCUCAUUAGCUAGUUGGUAGGGUAACGGCCUACCAAGGCGAUGAUGGGUAGCUGGUCUGAGAGGAUGAUCAGCCACACUGGAACUGAAACACGGUCCAGACUCCUACGGGAGGCAGCAGUGGGGAAUCUUGCGCAAUGGAGGAAACUCUGACGCAGCCACGCCGCGUGAGUGAAGAAGGCCUUCGGGUUGUAAAGCUCUGUCGCACGGGACGAAAGGCAUCAGGGCUAAUAUCCUUGAUGUUUGACGGUACCGUGAGAGGAAGCACCGGCUAACUCCGUGCCAGCAGCCGCGGUAAUACGGAGGGUGCAAGCGUUGCUCGGAAUUAUUGGGCGUAAAGGGCAAGUAGGUGGUCUUAUUUGUCUGAGGUGAAAGCCUUGGGCUUAACUCAAGAAGUGCCUCAGAGACGGUAAGACUAGAGUACUGGAGAGGGUCGUGGAAUUCCCGGUGUAGCGGUGAAAUGCGUAGAGAUCGGGAGGAACACCAGAUGCGAAGGCGGCGACCUGGACAGUAACUGACACUCAACUGCGAAAGCGUGGGGAGCAAACAGGAUUAGAUACCCUGGUAGUCCACGCCGUAAACGAUGGGUACUAGGCAUGGCGGGUCUUGACCCCUGCCGAGCCUGAGCUAACGCGAUAAGUACCCCGCC
This 901-nucleotide ribosomal RNA is filed under the name uncultured bacterium. Its description in RNAcentral is "bacterial SSU rRNA". It matches the Rfam family "Bacterial small subunit ribosomal RNA", at positions 1 to 873 of the family's 1533-position model. The record is from RNAcentral.